Molecule: long non-coding RNA, 375 nt
Filed under: Gorilla gorilla gorilla (western lowland gorilla)
Lineage: Eukaryota; Metazoa; Chordata; Mammalia; Primates; Hominidae
Description: lncRNA (ENSGGOG00000044656.1)
Source: RNAcentral
GGAUCAUAGCAGACUCUGCCUAUGGAGGCCUGGGGUCCCUUUGGCAGCACUUUUGUCAAGAAAGUAGAGUCGUGGACAACCAACUGCACAGGUUGGGAGGCUUUGAAGAACAAGCUGCCAUGAAUCCUACAGCUACAAGGAAAUGAACUCUAUUAACUUCAGUGAGCUUAAAACUAGAUCCUUCCCCAGUCAAGCCUCCAGGUGAGAAUUCAAUCCUGGCUGGCACCUGGAUUGCAGCUUACAGAAGACCCAGCUAAGGCCAUGUCUGGACUUUAAAUCCACAGGAACUGCAAGGUAACCAAUGUGUGCUAUUUUAAGCUAUUAAGUUGUGGUGAUUUGUUACACAGCAGUAGAAAGCUAAUACUGUGGAGUUUG